Molecule: ribosomal RNA, 490 nt
Filed under: uncultured bacterium
Lineage: Bacteria
Description: partial 16S ribosomal RNA
Rfam family: Bacterial small subunit ribosomal RNA
Source: RNAcentral
AGUGAACGCUGGCGGUAGGCCUAACACAUGCAAGUCGAACGGCAGCACAGUAAGAGCUUGCUCUUACGGGUGGCGAGUGGCGGACGGGUGAGGAAUACAUCGGAAUCUACUUUUUCGUGGGGGAUAACGUAGGGAAACUUACGCUAAUACCGCAUACGACCUACGGGUGAAAGCAGGGGAUCUUCGGACCUUGCGCGAUUGAAUGAGCCGAUGUCGGAUUAGCUAGUUGGCGGGGUAAAGGCCCACCAAGGCGACGAUCCGUAGCUGGUCUGAGAGGAUGAUCAGCCACACUGGAACUGAGACACGGUCCAGACUCCUACGGGAGGCAGCAGUGGGGAAUAUUGGACAAUGGGCGCAAGCCGGAUCCAGCCAUACCGCGUGGGUGAAGAAGGCCUUCGGGUUGUAAAGCCCUUUUGUUGGGAAAGAAAAGCAGCAGGUUAAUACCCCGCUGUUCUGACGGUACCCAAAGAAUAAGCACCGGCUAACUUCG